UCCCUUACCUCUGAUUCCUCUCCGUCUCUUACCUCUGCUCCGGCUAGCCGUCGAUCAACCCCUGAACUCCGAAGGGUGUGACACCGAUGCGAGCGGAAGCUGCUUCCAUGGACGCGAAUCUACAUACUCUUCUCCCCCGACAACCGGAACGGUGAGCUGCAACCAUGGACAGCAGGAGAUUCGAUGUUAAGGGUAGCUGCAACCGGUGUUCAUGGGAGCUGCGACCCAGGCGCGAGCUGCAACCAUGGAUGGUGGGGAGCUGCAACCGGCAUCCGGAGGAGCUACAACCGGUGUUCGGGGGAGCUGCAAACGGUGAACGGCGUCAUGCUGUGGGCUAGGACGGCGAUGCAACCAUAGAAACAGUGAGUUCUUUUUUUGCUACCACCGGCAAGAUGAGGUGUUACCACGGGGCAAGGCUAGGUCCUGGUAUGACGGUGGCAAGGGGGAGAUGCUGCAGAACGGCGCAUUUUUUGACUGUUCUUUUUUCUCGGAACAUGUCAUUUUGCUGGAACUAUGUCAUUUUUUUGCUGGAACCAUGUUUUUGCUGGCAACGGCACAAGCCAGGCGAGGACGAGAUGUCAGCGAUGGUGCGACGGCAGCGCGUGAGAUGGAUGCGGCGAGCGACUGGAGGUGGGUCGACGUGCUACUGGGGGGAGGGGAGGGGCAUGUGCACGCGCAGGAGGAUGAUGAGUAAGAGGAGCGCAGCGGGGGAAGAAGAUGACCCGAAGGAUAAGAAUCAAGUGGCUGAGAGGGGGCCAAUCCGACGGCUAAUGCACGACCGGCCGAAACUUUGGGCCGGCGCGCCAGCGCCUAGUACCGCCCUUUAUGUUUCUGACAGAGGCACGGCACUACAGGUAAAUGGGCCGUGUCAUGGCGGCCCGCGUGCCUCUUCCAGGCCCAGGCAUGGCACUACUGUAAAUGGGUCGGCCCGCAGGUUUAGCCCGUGUGGCAGGAUGCUUGUAGGCCUUAUAGGCUGGUUUUCGGCCAUUUUUAUCUGUUGGACUGUCUUUGGGAACAUAUAUAUGUAAGUCAAAAAUAAAUAUAAAAAGA
Aegilops tauschii subsp. strangulata is the source of this 1050-nucleotide long non-coding RNA. RefSeq lists it as uncharacterized. NCBI's taxonomy places the organism in Eukaryota, Viridiplantae, Streptophyta, Magnoliopsida, Poales, Poaceae. The record is from RefSeq and is a predicted model, not a curated record.